Molecule: ribosomal RNA, 1175 nt
Filed under: Phocaeicola vulgatus
Lineage: Bacteria; Pseudomonadati; Bacteroidota; Bacteroidia; Bacteroidales; Bacteroidaceae
Description: partial 23S ribosomal RNA
Rfam family: Bacterial large subunit ribosomal RNA
Source: RNAcentral
AGGAAAGUAAAGAAGGGCGCAUGGCGGAUGCCUUGGCUCUCGGAGGCGAUGAAGGACGUGAUAAGCUGCGAUAAGCUUUGGGGAGGUGCAAAUGACCUUUGAUCCAGAGAUUUCCGAAUGGGACAACCCAAUAUCUUGAAGAGGUAUUAUCUUACUAUGUAAGAGGCUAACGCAGGGAACUGAAACAUCUUAGUACCUGCAGGAAAAGAAAAUAAACAAUGAUUCCCCCAGUAGUGGCGAGCGAACGGGGAACAGCCCAAACCAUCCAUGUUACGGCAUGGGUGGGGUUGUAGGACUACGCCGUUGCAUGAAGACAUCAGAGAAGAACUUUCUGGAAAGAAAGACCAUAGAGCAUGACAGUUGCGUAUUCGAAUGUUGUCGAAGCAUAGUAGUAUCCUGAGUAGCGCGGAGCACGAGGAAUUCUGCGUGAAUCUGCCGGGACCAUCCGGUAAGGCUAAAUACUCCCGAGAGACCGAUAGCGAACCAGUACCGUGAGGGAAAGGUGAAAAGCACUUCGAACAGAAGAGUGAAAUAGUUCCUGAAACCGUGCGCCUACAAGCGGUCGGAGCUCGUUAAUGAGUGACGGCGUGCCUUUUGCAUAAUGAACCUACGAGUUGCCUUUGCCGGCAAGGUUAAGUGUGACGACACACGUAUCCGAAGCGAAAGCGAGUCUGAACAGGGCGUAUAGUCGGCAGUGGCAGACGCGAAACCAAGUGAUCUACCCUUGGCCAGGUUGAAGGCUGGGUAACACCAGCUGGAGGACCGCACCAAUAAGCGUUGAAAAGCUUCUGGAUGAGCUGAGGGUAGGGGUGAAAGGCUAAUCAAACUUGGAGAUAGCUCGUACUCCCCGAAAUGCAUUUAGGUGCAGCCUUGCGGGUUACUGAUGUGAGGUAGAGCGACUGAUAAGAUGCGAGGGCUUCACCGCCUAUCAAGUCUUGACAAACUCCGAAUGCGCAUCAGUUCUACCGCAGGAGUGAGGGCAUGGGUGCUAAGGUCCGUGCCCGAGAGGAGAAGAAUCCGGACCACCUGCUAAGGUCCCGAAAUGACAGCUAAGUUAAACUAACGAAGUCUGACUGCUAAGACAGCUAGGAUGUUGGCUUGGAAGCAGCCAUUCAUUUAAAGAGUGCGUAACAGCUCACUAGUCGAGGAGUCGGGCGUGGAUAAUAAUCGGGUAU